RNAcentral lists this ribosomal RNA (796 nucleotides) under Cryphodera sp. D SAS-2019. RNAcentral's name for it is "SSU rRNA". It matches the Rfam family "Eukaryotic small subunit ribosomal RNA", at positions 87 to 883 of the family's 1831-position model. The record is from RNAcentral. Lineage: Eukaryota; Metazoa; Nematoda; Chromadorea; Rhabditida; Heteroderidae.
CUGCGUACGGCUCAUUACACCAGCUGUAAUUUACUUGACCUUGACAACCUACUUGGAUAACUGUGGUAAUUCUAGAGCUAAUACAUGCACCAAAGCUCCAAGCUUCGGCGCGGAGUGCAUUUGUUCGCCACAAAACCAAGCGCCCUCUGGGCGUCCAUUGCUGACUCAGAACAACUCAGCUGAUCGCACGGUCUUGUACCGGCGACGUGUCUUUCAAGUGUCUGCCUUAUCAACUUUCGAUGGUAGUGUACCUGACUACCAUGGUUGUGACGGGUAACGGAGGAUCAGGGUUCGACUCCGGAGAAGGGGCCUGAGAAAUGGCCACUACGUCUAAGGAUGGCAGCAGGCGCGCAAAUUACCCACUCUCGACUCGAGGAGGUAGUGACGAGAAAUAACAAGACCGUUCUCACAAGAGGCCGGUCAUUGGAAUGGGUACAACUUAAACCCUUUAACGAGUAUCUAUGAGAGGGCAAGUCUGGUGCCAGCAGCCGCGGUAAUUCCAGCUCUCAAAAUGCAUAGAAUCAUUGCUGCGGUUAAAAAGCUCGUAGUUGGAUCUGUGCUGGUCGCCCGGUCCGCCCGCUGGGCGUGCACUGGUGCGGCCGGCUUUCCUGCCGGUUUUUGCCCGGCGUCGGCCUUCACUGUGUCGGCGUCGGUGGGCCGGCGAGUUUACUUUGAACAAAUCAGAGUGCUUAACACAGGCGUUUCGCUUGAAUGUUCGUGCAUGGAAUAAUAGAAGAGGAUCACGGUCCGAUUUUAUUGGUUUUGCUGACCGAGAUAAUGGUUAACAGAGACAAAC